UUUUUUAUUCUAUUUUUUUCCUUUUUUCUUUUUUUUCUUCUUCAUAGGUUGGUCACCGGAAAGGCGAUCGGUGUAAUAACUCCAAUUUGGCACACCAGGUGGCCGAAUCUGGCCACUAUGACUCCAGAUCGACGCUUCCCCCAAGCUGGAUCUGGCCGUGGAGUGUCAGAUCUAACCGUGGGAUUUGGUCGGGAAGCACCAAAUCUGGUGUUUCCCGCAACCAGAUUUGGCAGUUGAGUGCCAGAUCUGGCUAGAUCUCGAUUGAAUCUUGUCGAAAAUGACUAGAUCGAUGCUUUUUGACCAUAUUCGGUAGUGACACCGUUGUCGCCGACGCUACUGUCGCCGUCUUCGCCGCCACCAACAUCAUCUUCGAUAUUAAGUGCCAAUUAAAGAGAGAAUGAGAGAGGAAAGAACGUG
RNAcentral lists this long non-coding RNA (417 nucleotides) under Theobroma cacao (cacao). RNAcentral's name for it is "long non-coding RNA (TCAC_LNC003476)". The record is from RNAcentral. Lineage: Eukaryota; Viridiplantae; Streptophyta; Magnoliopsida; Malvales; Malvaceae.